Cyprinus carpio (common carp) is the source of this 1510-nucleotide long non-coding RNA. Lineage: Eukaryota; Metazoa; Chordata; Actinopteri; Cypriniformes; Cyprinidae. The record is from Ensembl.
AUUAUUGUUUGCCACAAGAACACAUUAAUAUGCACAUUAGAUGCAAUGUAUGGGAACACCAACUUAUGGACAUUUUACGCAGAUAUUGCAUAAAGUAAAAUAGUAUAUCAAAUCAUUCUGUUAUAUCUUUCCUAACAUAGUUGGGAAUCAUCUUUGUACAAAGUUUGGUUAAAAAUAGACUGAAACCUAAAAACUGAUUGGUGAAUGAAAAAAAGAAAACAUUAUUUUUGCCUAUAAUUUGCCUUUUAAUGUCUUUUUGUUGUUGUUGUUGUUGUUGUUGUUUUAAUACAUUUGUCCUGGUGUCCUCUACAAAGGGCAUAGAAUAAUAUAUGAAUAAAAUAUCCUUUUUCAAUUUUUUUUUCCUCCAUUUGUUUCUUAUGCUCCAACCAAUGUAAUGACAUUUAAAAAAAAAAAAAUCACAAAACUAUUUUUAUGGUUCUCAGGAGGAUAAUUGUUUUCUGGAAUUUAUUUAGGGUUAGUUCAGCUGAACAGGUCCAGUUUUCCCAGUUAUCUUCAUAGGAAAAAAAUUAUCCCAAUUUACCAGAAUCAGAGGAUCACAGAGCUCGUGAGCCCAAGUGACACUCCAGCGCGUGGGAUGAAUCGCACUGACGUCACUCAGUGACUCAACCGCUCAUCCUUAGUAAAAGUAACGCGGCUGCAAGUAAAAGCAAUUCCUCUAGUCUCGGCUAAUCAGUAGUUAAGCUCUGAUGGAGGGUAGGCUACCUGUACUAGAUGACGUGGUUACAGGUGCAGAAAGGCUCUAUGGAGCAUUCUUAAAGGAAUUUAAACUGCGCAGUUCUUCCUCGUUAGCUCAUACACGCGAAAAGAUCGUUUUCAGCUCAUCCCACAGCUGUCCAGCAGCUGGGAUUUUUCCUUCAUCCCUGUUGUGGGAUGUAAAAUGAUGUCACUGAUGCUGAUGCAGCCAACAGAAAAGUGCCAUUGGUACCAGUUUGUGAAGAGCUUCUUCCUGAUUGAGCUCAGGAAGAUGAACAGCUGGGAGAACCAAUCAUCAUGGAGAAGAGGUGGUCUUUUAACUCUAUCCCCUGACCAAUAAUCAUGGCUUCAUCAGGGUAAAAAUAUGAUGACACUGACUGAGCAUCAUAUUUCAUGUGUGUAGCGGUUCCCAAGCAGAGCUUGAUCACAUUUUUGGAUUUUCAUCUAGUUUUUAUAUAAUUUAUGAUUUAUGAUGCUGACACGAAUUGUUAGAAUCAUUUAACUCAUUUUAUAUAAGUAAAAUAUGGUGCAAGAAAUUGAUUAUUAUGUAAUAUGGAUUAUUUUUGCAUUGUCCCAUCCAAUUAAAAGCACAUCUCUAAUUUGAUGUUGUUAGUGAUCUGAACAAUCCUAUAACCUGUGUUAAAGUUUAUGUUGUGCUAUGGACAUGGAUGACACUACCUUAAAUUGUGCUGUAUAUUAAUGAGAGGUGUGCGUAGAUGUAUGAUUGUCAAUUAUUUUUAAAUAAUACAAGCAAAUAAUAUCCCAUUGACAUACAAUAAAAAAGAGACUUGACCCA